Non-coding RNA from Cinara cedri, 361 nucleotides. NCBI's taxonomy places the organism in Eukaryota, Metazoa, Arthropoda, Insecta, Hemiptera, Aphididae. The record is from the annotation of a GenBank genome assembly.
CUUAAUAGAGUGAAAACGGAGAAAAGCCCGUGCCCAUCAGAAUAAUGGAAUCUCCCCUCUGCUCAUGCGGAGAUGAACAAAAAAUGAAGCAUCCGGUCGAAACAUGUCUCAACACCAAGUUUGAAGUAGAAAUUACGCAUGCAGUUGCAUGGAUAACCGAUCUGAAAAUACCUACGCUGUGACCGAACCCAAUACAUUUCAAACCGCCAUGAUGUUACCAAUUGUCCGGCACACCAUGCUGUUCAUUUUUUAUUACCUACUCUGUCAGAACAACUGCAUUAAUUAUAAGACCUACACAUAUAAUUGUAUUCCAUCCUAACUAUUAUUUUGUUUCGUUUGUUAUAUUAUUAUUACUUAUAUU